Molecule: small RNA, 332 nt
Filed under: Bos taurus (domestic cattle)
Lineage: Eukaryota; Metazoa; Chordata; Mammalia; Artiodactyla; Bovidae
Description: partial maternally expressed gene 8 transcript variant 1
Rfam family: Maternally expressed 8 exon 2 (bases 1-107)
Source: RNAcentral
GACCUCGGCUCCCGUGUUGCCAGGAUCCGACCUCUCCUAGUUGAAAACAGCCUCGUGUUCCCCUGGGCCGAGGGGCAGCUCCAGAGGACUGGCUGAGUGCUCCGCGGCACUGGGUGAGUCCUCAGAAUGCCGUCUUACUGCAGACACACACCCGGGGGGCGGGCUGGCAUCCCCCAAACUGCUCCGUCCCGAGUGCACAUGCCAGGCUCCCUGAGGCCCUUGGAACCCUGAGUCUUGGGGUGCAGGGGUCGGGUGCUUUACAUCUGAGGGUUGGAGUGGCAGUGAUGUGAUUUGGGGGCAUAAUUAUACCCUGGAAACGGAAAAAAAAAAAA